AACCUUUACACUGCACGCACGUGCGAUAAGGGGACUCCGAGUGCGAGGGCAUAUCGUCCUCGCUUUCGUGUACCGUAGGGUGGUACACCAACAAGGGCUGGGCAAGACCGGUGCCAGCCGCCGCGGUAAUACCGGCAGCCCGAGUGAUGGCCGAUCUUAUUGGGCCUAAAGCGUCCGUAGCUGGCUGCGCAAGUCCGUCGGGAAAUCCACUCGCCCAACGAGUGGGCGUCCGACGGAAACUGCACAGCUUGGGACCGGAAGGCUCGAAGGGUACGUUCGGGGUAGGAGUGAAAUCCCAUAAUCCCGCACGGACCACCGAUGGCGAAAGCACUUCGAGAAAACGGAUCCGACAGUGAGGGACGAAAGCCAGGGUCUCCAACCGGAUUAGAUACCCGGGUAGUCCUGGCCGUAAACAAUGUUCGCUAGGUAUGACACAGACUACGCGUCUCUGUUGUGCCGUAGGGAAGCCGAGAAGCGAACCGCCUGG
RNAcentral lists this ribosomal RNA (487 nucleotides) under uncultured archaeon. Its description in RNAcentral is "bacterial SSU rRNA". It matches the Rfam family "Archaeal small subunit ribosomal RNA", at positions 345 to 831 of the family's 1478-position model. The record is from RNAcentral.